Molecule: long non-coding RNA, 727 nt
Organism: Cavia porcellus (domestic guinea pig)
Lineage: Eukaryota; Metazoa; Chordata; Mammalia; Rodentia; Caviidae
Exons: 3
Source: RefSeq, a predicted model, not a curated record
CCUCCUGCAGCCCUGAAGACCAUGCGGUGUGUCUCAUUACUUUGGGCCUUCACUGUGCCCCCAUUUGGGGGCUGUGGGUCUAGGCACAGAGCCCAACAGUGACCUCCAUUUCCUCAUUUCCCUCCACUCCUGAGCCAAGGAAUCAAACUCAGGACGGCGCACUUGCCAGGCAAGCACUGUGCCUCUGAGUUACCUCCCUGGCCCUCUAUCGCUACUUUUAUCUUCUGUUGUUCUCUGCAUUUGAUGGAUGAGGAAAGUGAGAUUUCGUUAUGCCGGGGUGGUAAACCUGCAACGCGUGGCCUGUAGACCAGCAGCAGCAACUGAUGAUCAAACCCAGAGCCUUCACUGAACUGCAUCCCUAUCCUUGUUUGAUUGAUUAAUUGAUUGAUUGACUUUGAGACAGUCUCACUAUGCAAUGCAGGCUGGCUUUGAACUGUAUGUAGCCUAGGCUGGCCUCAAACUCAUGGUAAUCCUUCUGCCUCAACUUCCUGGGUGCUGGGAUUACAGACCUGUACCACCAGGCCCAGCUCUUGGAUGACUUUCUAGUGCUUCUGAGUUAUGAGUACCUUUUAAUUUUCUAGCUUCGCUGCUGUUUGUCCUGCCUCCAGAAGAAUCCCUGACCAUUCAAAAAGUUCUAGAAAUGAGUACAGUUAGGAAGAAAAGCAGGCAGCAGGAAUUCAGAAGUUUUGCUAAUGCUCUCAAUAAAUCUGUGAAAUUUUAAGAAGAA